Amphimedon queenslandica is the source of this 356-nucleotide long non-coding RNA. RefSeq lists it as uncharacterized. The record is from RefSeq and is a predicted model, not a curated record. NCBI's taxonomy places the organism in Eukaryota, Metazoa, Porifera, Demospongiae, Haplosclerida, Niphatidae. The transcript has 3 exons.
UAUGAUGUUAUGUAGGCGUGGUGUAAAGUGCAGAAAUUAAAAAUGGCGGAUUUUCUGUCCAGCAAAUACUAUUCAGAAACUAAAGUUUCAAAGCUAAAACUCAUCCUAGAAAUUUUUUUGAAGAAGACCUAGUGGUAUAGAAAUUCCUGAAGAGGCUAAUUGUGUUAAUUGUAAUGGAAAUCUUUUACUGGAAGUGAGCCAGAUGUACAGGAUAAAGGAUUUGAGGUCCAAAGAGAAGUAAAGGAGGAACAGAAAUGAGCAUCACAAAGUCUGUUAUUGAUGAUUAGGAUAGUUUCUUGUGCCUGCUGACAGGAUUUAGUGGCAAACAAAGUGUCAAUCACUACUGUGGCUCUGUA